RNAcentral lists this unclassified non-coding RNA (2219 nucleotides) under Daphnia pulex (common water flea). Its description in RNAcentral is "uncharacterized LOC124208046, transcript variant X20". The record is from RNAcentral. Lineage: Eukaryota; Metazoa; Arthropoda; Branchiopoda; Diplostraca; Daphniidae.
UCUUCUGUAAUGACAGUCACGUGCAAGAAGCAUUGAGUGAAAGUAGUACUUUUCUAGUGAGAAAUAUGGAGUAUGGAAAUGUUGGAUGUGCAGUGGUGAUGCAGUAAGGGGACAAGCAGUUAAUUGUGGGUUCUUGGCUAAUGGAAGUGUCAAUCAGAGGUAUUUGUUUUCUGGUUGCUUCCUCUGUUUCCGUACAACGUCGAGUCAAAUUGCUCCAUGGGACAGUGGUUCAUCCCCGCCUUCUAUGGUUGUAAUUGCUGGAUAAUAUAUUGGACAAUCUAUGGUACCAUCAGAUUGCCUGGUUUUUGUUGGAUGUGAUUGAACUUCCUGCUGCUCCAGCUUGUGAGAUGUAAUCAUUUCAAUAAAGGGAUGUGGAUGGAUGUGGAUGCGGCAGUCGUGGUAUAGGGUUGAAGUUUCUUGGGCUGUCAUUCGUAUUCUUGGGACAAGGCGUUUUUUUUGCUGAACUUGGUCCGAAAAAGGUGACAUCGUUAUCUUCGGUGAAGUGAUCUGUAUCUCUGGAUUUGGUUAUUUGUGCUAUAGUCAGACUUGGUUGGUGUUCCAGUAAUUAUUGGUAAUUGCUUGCUGGUUGCUUUCCUGUUUUCCGUACAACGUUGAGAAUUUUGAAUGGCAACUGGGGGCAGGUACUGUCUGAUUGUCUGGUUUUCGUUGGAUGUGGUUGAAUAUGAUGCUGCGUUAUUUUGGGAGAUGUAACAUUAUUUCAAUAAUGGCCUGUUACGAAGCUGUUCUGCACUACGAUCGCCAUUCCCCGUAGCUCAUACUAGGCAUCAUCCUGUCUCCUGGGUGACGUGAUUCGAAUUCAGCUGAUCAACUCCUCCCCUCCACCAUCAAUAAGUUAUUACCUCUUUCUCCUUGGCUCCUAUAUCCAUGGCACCUUCAGGAAAGGUGAUCUACGCCGUGCAGAGCUGAUUCAAAUAUCACAAGUUUGGUAUUUAACUCAUUGGAUGUCAUUGCCAAGUCUAUUCCUGCUUCUGGUCUGGCCAAGACCUUUGGCAACCAUUGUAACACACCCAGGAAAUAGACUUGACUAGUGAGGAUUUCUUGCACCCAAAAGAAACUGUUCAACAACCUAUUCAACAAGUUUUCCAUCCUAAGAUAAGUGAUUAAUGAGUUAUAUAUUGGUGUUUAAUGUUUAUUUGAACAUUUUAAAUUUUAGGAUGUUUUACUUCGACUUAGGUAAAGGGAGUUAUUGGAUUAUCUGCUCUUCAUGAUGAAACUUUGUUUUGGAGCCCACUGCCAUAGCUGCCAUCCACCUUUACCAGGCAAUGAGCUUGGUUUGAAAAACUGCCUGAAAAAAUCUUAAAUGUGACAAGAAUUUAAUGGACUUUUUCUCUUAGAUGAUCUUCAUUAUUGGUUUCAACCCUGCUGGUAUGUUGAUAAAGGAGUUGGUUCCGAGUGGAAAAUGCAUUGAGUACUGUGUGGUUUUUCCUCCCUUAUUACUUGUGCAUGCAAUGUGAGAAGCUGUUGACCUCUUUGGGGCAUCUCUGGAAGGAGAAUUCCAUCAUCAAGACUAAGGAUUGAGUAUUGUCAUCGCUUUGGCUUUCGAUUAUUUAGUUGGCGUCACCUUUGGCGUCAAUAAAUUGCGUCAAUGCAAGACCGACAUCUUCAACAGUUAUACCCGCAUGUCCUAUGAAUUACCACGUUGGUUGAUGCCUUGAUAAGACACUGUUGAGUAUCCAGUCGGCGUAAAGCCAUAAAUAAGGAGAUUUGUAGUCAGGAGAGUAGUGCUAUUGAAGUAUAGCAUAUCUACUAUAUCUGUGCAGGGAGACGAUAGCAAAGAGAAAAUUAAAAAUAUUGAGGAGAUGGAAGAAUAUGUCCUGCCAAAUAAAUCUAUCCGCCAAUCCACUAAAUGUGGGCUCGUAUUACGUCAGACUUGUUAAAGCAGCAUUCCCUUCUUGCAUCCCAAGAAAGGUUACUAUUGUAUGGGGGGAUUGAAACAUAGGCGUGCUUUAUUUUAACAUCUGUAUUUUAGCUGGAAUGGUGUUCAAUUCUUGCCUCUCAUAUGUUCGGACAUGUUAGUUAUUGAUAGUGUUAGUGAUAAAUUAUUUCUUCCAUUCACAGCAUUUUGCACUUCCGAAUGACAAGCAUGCAACCAAUUUCCAGCAGCAGACAGAGUUAUCAACCAGUUGGAUUGAAAUUGUGUUUCAUGUUGCCGAAAAUAUGUCUUCUCCUGCAACCUCUUUCUAGGAAUGGGACAGGCA